Molecule: ribosomal RNA, 301 nt
Filed under: uncultured bacterium
Lineage: Bacteria
Description: partial 16S ribosomal RNA
Rfam family: Bacterial small subunit ribosomal RNA
Source: RNAcentral
CAGUCGCCACGGUAAUACAGAGGGUGCAAGCGUUAAUCGGAAUUACUGGGCGUAAAGCGCGCGUAGGUGGUUUGUUAAGUUGGAUGUGAAAUCCCCGGGCUCAACCUGGGAACUGCAUCCAAAACUGGCAAGCUAGAGUAUGGUAGAGGGUGGUGGAAUUUCCUGUGUAGCGGUGAAAUGCGUAGAUAUAGGAAGGAACACCAGUGGCGAAGGCGACAACCUGGACUGAUACUGACACUGAGGUGCGAAAGCGUGGGGAGCAAACAGGAUUAGAUACCCCGGUAGUCCCUGUCUCUUAUAC